RNAcentral lists this ribosomal RNA (465 nucleotides) under uncultured bacterium. Its description in RNAcentral is "partial 16S ribosomal RNA". It matches the Rfam family "Bacterial small subunit ribosomal RNA", at positions 28 to 507 of the family's 1533-position model. The record is from RNAcentral.
GACGAACGCUGGCGGCGUGCUUAACACAUGCAAGUCGUACGGUAAGGUCCUUUCGGGGGUUCACGCGUGGCGGACGGGUGAAUAACACGUGAGUAAACUGACCACUACUUAGGGUUAACGCUAGGAAACUGGUGCUCAUACUGGCUAUGUGCACCUGCUGAUAGGUGGGGGUUGGGAAGCUCCGCGGGUUGUGGAUGGACUCGCGGCCUAUCUGCUUGAUGGUGGGGUAGUGGCUUACCUAGGCGGCGACGGGUCGCCGGCCACAGAGAGUGACCGGCGACAUUGGGACUGAGAGACGGCCCAGACUCCGACGGGACGCAGCAGGAGGGAAUAUUGCACAAUGGGCGCAAGCCGGAUGCAGCAACUCCGCGGGCGGGAUGACUGCCUUCUUGUUGUAAACCGCUUACAUCAGUGACGAAGCUUUUUGUGACGGUACCUGCAGAAGAAGCACCGGCUAACUACGUG